AUUGAACGCUGGCGGCAGGCCUAACACAUGCAAGUCGAGCGGAUGAAGGGAGCUUGCUCCUGGAUUCAGCAGCGGACGGGUGAGUAAUGCCUAGGAAUCUGCCUGGUAGUGGGGGAUAACGUCCGGAAACGGGCGCUAAUACCGCAUACGUCCUGAGGGAGAAAGUGGGGGAUCUUCGGACCUCACGCUAUCAGAUGAGCCUAGGUCGGAUUAGCUAGUUGGUGGGGUAAGGGCCUACCAAGGCGACGAUCCGUAACUGGUCUGAGAGGAUGAUCAGUCACACUGGAACUGAGACACGGUCCAGACUCCUACGGGAGGCAGCAGUGGGGAAUAUUGGACAAUGGGCGAAAGCCUGAUCCAGCCAUGCCGCGUGUGUGAAGAAGGUCUUCGGAUUGUAAAGCACUUUAAGUUGGGAGGAAGGGCAGUAAGUUAAUACCUUGCUGUUUUGACGUUACCAACAGAAUAAGCACCGGCUAACUUCGUG
This 484-nucleotide ribosomal RNA is filed under the name uncultured bacterium. Its description in RNAcentral is "partial 16S ribosomal RNA". It matches the Rfam family "Bacterial small subunit ribosomal RNA", at positions 30 to 507 of the family's 1533-position model. The record is from RNAcentral.